Molecule: ribosomal RNA, 900 nt
Filed under: uncultured bacterium
Lineage: Bacteria
Description: bacterial SSU rRNA
Rfam family: Bacterial small subunit ribosomal RNA
Source: RNAcentral
ACGGAAAUCCCGGGGUUUACCAUGCCCCUCUAGGGGCAGCGGGGAGGUAGCAAUACUUCCGCCGGCGACCGGCCCUUUAAAGAGUAACACGUAUGGAACCUGCCCGUAGCAGGGCCCUAAACGGAAGAAAUUCCGUCUAAUACCGCGUAAUAACUCCGAGAGGCAUCUCAUGGAGUUUAAAGGGCAACACCCGCUACGGAUGGCCAUGCGGCGCAUUAGCUAGUUGGCGGGGUAACGGCCCACCAAGGCGACGAUGCGUAGGGGUUCUGAGAGGAAGGUCCCCCACACUGGUACUGAGACACGGACCAGACUCCUACGGGAGGCAGCAGUGAGGAAUAUUGGUCAAUGGGCGCGAGCCUGAACCAGCCAAGUCGCGUGAGGGAAGACGGUCCUAUGGAUUGUAAACCUCUUUUGUCGGGGAGCAAAAGACGCCACGCGUGGCGUUCCGAGAGUACCCGAAGAAAAAGCAUCGGCUAACUCCGUGCCAGCAGCCGCGGUAAUACGGAGGAUGCGAGCGUUAUCCGGAUUUAUUGGGUUUAAAGGGUGCGCAGGCGGAAGAUCAAGUCAGCGGUAAAAUUGAGAGGCUCAACCUCUUCGAGCCGUUGAAACUGGUUUUCUUGAGUGAGCGAGAAGUAUGCGGAAUGCGUGGUGUACCGGUGAAAUGCAUAGAUAUCACGCAGAACUCCGAAUGCGAAGGCAGCAUACCGGCGCUCAACUGACGCUCAUGCAUGAAAGUGUGGGUAUCGAACAUGAAUCAAUACCCUGGUAGACCACACAGUAAACCAAUGAAUAUUAAUCGCUCGGAGAGAAUGAAUCCCUGAGUGAAACACCGAAAGCCUUUAGUUUUCUCCCCUGGGGAAUACGCCCGCAACUUGGGAACCUCACAUGAAUUUACGGGUG